UGAGUCUACAUAUGGGAAGGUGCUCGAACCCUCUCUCAUUUUCUUCCGUUGCUUUUCCCUUUCGCCUGCUCUCUGUUUCUCUCUGCUUUUCUCCCUGUUCAAUCUUCGUGUUUCCUUGCUUAACUCUCUUCCAUUUUCUUCCGUCGCUUUUCCCUUUCUCUUCCUCUCUGUUUCCGUGCUUUUCUCCCUGCGUCAAUCCUUCGUGUUUCCCUGCUUCUCUCUCUGCGUCGAUCGUGUGUCGUAUGAAGAGUUUCUUUUCCGGGUGAUUGCACUGUUUCAGGAAAAUUGGUGUGCGAAUUUUAGGGUUUUUGUGUACAACCUUGCAAACCCCUUCUGAUUAAGUGGUUUCGUGCUAUCUUGAACUCCAAGUGGAAAGCCCAGGGAGCAGAAAAUGGACAAUCACAAUUAUUAUUGUAGGUGGAUCGGAUUUGAAGUAUUUUUUAGGGUGGGUAAAAAAGUUGAGCGGAGUUGGGAAAAUUCCUAAGUGGUUAAAGAAGAGUAGAAGAAACGUUCUGUUUAUUCCUCCAGAAAAGAUUAAGAAAGUUGGUGGUCACAAAUCAACUGACUCAACUUUAUAUCAACAUUGGAGCAUGCCUUACAAGUUUAUGCAGCUAUGCAGAGGGAUACGUAGUGGAACUUGGAUUUCAAAGAUCACAGUGAACAGGGUGACAGGUGUAUUUCCUCCUUUUUUACCAUUUUAAAACUUAUAUUAUUGAUAAAUUAAUUUGAAUCAUGUGGCAUGAACUUAAAGCUCUGUUUGGGAAAGUGGGCUCUUUACCCCAAAGAUGCUUGCUUUUGGUAAUAUUUGGAAUUGUGCUUCUAAGCUGUUUUUCAAGCUUUUGGCCAUACUAAAUGGAGCUAAGUCGAACAGCUCUUCAGUUGCAUUGUAGUUGCUUUCCUAAAUUGAUUGUUCAUUUGUUGCAAAAAUUUUAAGGGCGAAAAUUAUGUUUCAAAUUGGAUUUAGAUAUGAGUAUUACACAUUCAACGUGUUGAAUUCAUCUUUGUUUUGGUGUUUGUGGUUUUGAAUGUCAUUUAGUGCAGUAUAGCUUUAACUUAAAUGUGGUUCUAUAUAUCUCAAGUACUCAUUUGGAUUUUGAGCAGUAGGAGAGAGUUUAGCACGUAUUUGAGGAAAUGCGAAGAACUUUUUUUGAAAUGGUUAGAGUUUGAGAUUCUCAGAAGGAAGCUCCUAUGAGUUUUUGGUUUUUUGUGUUGAUUUGAACAAAUUCGGUUUUUAUAUUUAUUAAUUUUUGUUGUGUGAGUAGUAUUUAUUGGGCUUGAUGUUUUUUUGAAACACCAGGUGUUUUGGAGACGUUUGAAAUCAUAAGAAGACUCGAAGAUUUCAGCCAGGUUUGAAUCAAAUCACCAAAUGGAUUCUUCUUCCAGGUUAUGAUUAAAUGUUCCCAACUUUUUUAGUUGUAUAAAGACUUGGGUAGAUAGGAAUUUGAUUUUAGUCAUGUGUUUCACUAAUUCUUUGGUAAUAGAUAAAUCUUUAUGAACAGUCUCCUGCUUCUAUCAAUACCCAUGGUAAGUUCUUAUAAUUUACUUUUAACGGUAAGGUCAUUUGUGACCAAAUAUUCUUUUUCAACUUAUGCUUCAUUUAUUCUUCUUUUGCAGCCUAUUUUUUCACACAUUUAGUCUUCAGUAGAUGGGCUAAGCAAUUUCCACGUGGCAUUGUAUCAAAUUAUCAUUGAUCGUAGGUUUUCGUGGUGAGAUGGAAUAAAUUGGUGAAACGUAGAGUGAUUUAUUUGCAGAAAGGUUUGACCUUUGAAUUGGAACUAUAGUGUUCGUUCCUAUUGCUACAUUGGCAGCUUUUGGCUCAGAAAUGUUCACAGUUGUCUUCAUCUGAAACGAGUCAAUCAACUGUAUACCAUCACCGUCAAACAUUGAGAACUUCAGCAUGUACUACAAAUCUCGAUCAAAGCUAAAUUAACCUCUCAUAUGGUUUUUGCCAAUUGUCAUUUUUGAAGGCUAUGACAGUUUAUGCCAUCAUCCAGUGUUACUAUUUGGGGAAGAUUGCUGAUCAAAAUAAUAGAAGCAUGUACAUCAUCACAAAUAAAACAAAAAAAUUGGGAAGCGACAGUCAAUAUAACUUUCAGGUACAAAUUAUUAUGUGUAUAAAUACAAUUGUAAAUAUUACACCUAAUAUGAAUGCACAUAUAUUUUAUACAUUUUUUAAACACGCGGCAACGCGCGGGCACUACACUAGUAUAUACUAAAAGAGAAAAACAACUCGAACACUGUUCUUUUUACAGUGUUUUUCCGUUUUUGCCCUUUUGUGUUUCUUUAUCUAAUGUUCAUUCUACAAUGUGAUUCCAUUUUACCCCUGUUUUAGUUAUUUGGUCUUUUAUUUGAUCUCUGAUUGGAAUUGGAGGAGUUCUAGAGACUUCUUUCCGUCUUUCACCCUGCUCCGCUUGCUCAGUUCCAUAGAUUCCAAUCUUUAACGUCAAACGAAAAUCUUAAAUCCCUAAACUCGCUCACUUGCCCCUUCUCCCUCGAACACACUUCCCGCAACCACUUAUGGGUAAACACGGUUCCCACAACUUCCUUUGGUGCGUCUUCUACGACUCCGACAUUAACGACCUUGAUAUCUCCUUUCCCUGCUGGACCAUACGAUCAACGCUUCUCUUUGUUCGAUGUGAAGACACCCACCAACCUUUGAUCAAUCAUGGAGCUGGAUUUUGAUUUCGUUUAUGAAGUUGGAUUCUUAUUUGGGCUUUAUUAUAGUUUAGGUUAUGAGCAAUUUUUUUUUAUGCAAAGAAAUUAUAUUGUAUGAGAUUUGCACCAUGAGAGGUCUCAUGAUGUAAAAAUAUUAAAUAUAAUGUUGUAAAAGAAAACGAUGAUUGCAGUUUUAGUGUAGACUCUCCUUUUAAGUUGUUCAA
Long non-coding RNA from Pyrus x bretschneideri (Chinese white pear), 2879 nucleotides. RefSeq lists it as uncharacterized. The transcript is spliced from 13 exons. NCBI's taxonomy places the organism in Eukaryota, Viridiplantae, Streptophyta, Magnoliopsida, Rosales, Rosaceae. The record is from RefSeq and is a predicted model, not a curated record.